Molecule: unclassified non-coding RNA, 3284 nt
Filed under: Orussus abietinus
Lineage: Eukaryota; Metazoa; Arthropoda; Insecta; Hymenoptera; Orussidae
Description: dNA topoisomerase 3-alpha, transcript variant X2
Source: RNAcentral
CAUUGACCAGGUUCAACAAGUAGUGAGAGUAUUUAACAAAUCGAAAACCCACAUUUUGUGGCACAUUACAUAUUCUCGUGACUGUACGAUGUUAUCCGUGCAAUUGAUAUACGAGUGGAGAAACUCGGUGGAUUCUAGUAUUUACCAAUGUAAACGUUAGAAAGCUGACAUGACCGAUUGAUUCUGUAAAGGACAAAAACCUAUGGGCAAAUAAGACAUGCUUGAUGCUUGGAUGUAUUCGAUAAUGGAAAUAGAUUACUUUGAGAAAAAGGCAGUCGACGACCGAUCCUCUCGCGAAUCUAAUAAAAAAAGGAGAAAAGAAAAUAAUUGCGUCAAAUAGAGAUGCUUUGCACCGGAUGGUCCGUGUUCCGUUUGAAUUCUUUGUGCACUAAGAUAGAUGUAACUUAUGUUACAUUUUGUUUAUAUUUAAAAGAAAAACAAGUGAUUACCGCAAAUGCAACUAUGAAGGUUCUAAAUGUUGCCGAGAAGAACGAUGCCGCCAAAAAUAUCUCGCUCCAUUUAUCCAAAGGAAAUAGUUCUCGAAGAGAAGGUUUAUCCAAGUUCAAUAAAAUAUACGAAUUCAAUUUACAACUAUGGAAUCAAAAUUGUAAGAUGAUUAUGACGUCGGUCUCUGGACACCUUCUGGGCUACGAAUUUGUGGGAUCCUAUCGGAGAUGGGAAGGUUGUCAUCCGCUGAGUCUGUUCGAUGCUCUUGUAGUGAAGCAGUGUAUUCAGAAUUAUGCGGAUAUUAAAAAGACAUUGGAACGAGAAGUGCGAAACUGCCAAGCACUUGUCCUAUGGACGGAUUGCGACAGGGAAGGGGAGAACAUUGGGUUUGAAAUUAUUCAAGUUUGUCGAGCUAUUAAACCUGGUAUCAAAAUUUACAGAGCAAAGUUUUCCGAGAUUACACAAUGUUCGAUGGAACGGGCUAUUAGAAAUCUCGAACAACCGAAUAAGGCCAUCAGCGAUGCGGUGGAUGUGCGCAGUGAACUAGACCUAAGAAUAGGUGCUGCAUUUACAAGAUUUCAAACGUUAAGACUGCAAAAGGUCUUCCCUCGAACCCUUUCGGAUAUGCUCAUCAGUUACGGCAGCUGUCAGUUUCCGACGUUAGGCUUUGUAGUGGAACGAUUCCUGGCGAUUGAAAGAUUUAAGCCAGAGCCUUACUGGAGACUCAAAGUGACGGAUAUGCGGAAUGACAUCUUGGUUGAAUUCAGAUGGGAUAGAAAUAGGCUCUUCGAAGAAUUGCCGUGUCAGAUUUUGUUGGACCGAUGCUUGGAGAAUCCUAACGCUACUGUGGAAAAAGUGACGAGUAAGCCUAAGAGCAAGUGGAGACCGUUACCGCUGGAUACUAUAGAAUUGGAAAAACAAGGCUCUCGGAAACUUCAAUUAAAUGCCAAGGAGACCAUGCAGAUCGCAGAGAGGCUUUACACUCAAGGUCUCAUCAGUUACCCUCGUACCGAGACAAAUAUAUUUCCAAAGGAACUUAACCUGGUUCCUUUGGUCAGCGAUCAAACCAACAACCCAGUCUGGGGAGAUUUUGCGCGACGAUUGCUUGCCGAUGGACCUACGCCCAGGCAGGGGAAAAAGAGCGACCAGGCUCACCCCCCGAUCCAUCCGACAAAAUAUUCCGAUACGCUUCAAGGACACGAAGCUCGAGUGUACGAAUUUGUAACGAGACACUUUCUUGCUUGCCUGUCAAAGAACGCGGAAGGUGAAGAAACAUUGGUAGAGAUUGACAUCGCGGCAGAAAAGUUUGCCGCGAAUGGAUUGCGGAUUAUAGCAAAAAAUUAUUUGGAAGUUUACGUUUACGAAAAGUGGAGUGAUAAAGUGAUUCCUGUUUACGAACGUGGCCAGGUGUUCGGGCCUACCGGCAUUGAAAUGGUUCGGUCGGAGACAACGCCACCUAACCUUUUAACCGAAGCUGAUUUAAUUGCCUUGAUGGAUAAACAUGGGAUUGGAACCGAUGCGACCCAUGCCGAGCACAUUGAAACUAUCAAAUCGAGACAGUAUGUAGGUCUAGCCGAUGGAUCGCACUUUGUACCGGGAAACCUUGGCAUCGGAUUGGUAACGGGUUACGAUAGAAUGGGCUUUCAAAUGUCAAAGCCUAACCUGCGAGCUGAAUUAGAGAGUGAUCUGAAACUAAUAUGCGAAGGGAAGAAGGACCCACAGGUUGUCUUGCUUAACCAGAUAUCCAAGUAUCGAGAGGUAUUCAAGAUUGCUCUAGAACGAGCCAAUUUAAUUGACGGAGCUAUUGCCGAGUACAUCGAAGAGAGACCAAAAGAUGCCGAAGAAUUGCCAGCCACUGUGCCACCGGAGGAUAUUGUUGUUUUCUCGUGUCCCAAAUGUGGUUCGAAUAUGGUGCUGAAAGACAGAUCGCUCGAUGGAAGGAAAUACAUCGGUUGUAUGGCAUAUCCAGAUUGCAGCAACAGUAUCUGGCUCCCUUCGACCAUCGAACGAGUUCAAGUGCUCGAUAGAGUCUGCCAGCAAUGUCCUGGUAACCUGCCGAUACUGAGGUUUAAGCUAAAACGCGGCGCACUACCCCUCUUUGGCAUCGAGCACGAGACAUGUAUAGGAGGUUGUGACGAAGAAUUCAAUCAAGUGAUGGAAAUACGUGUCGAUAAUGUUAGAAGAGUCCAGGGAACCAACGAUACCGGCUACACAAGUUUUCAUAGAUCCUCCGUAAGGAGUUCCGACACCUCUCAGAGGAAUAAUACUCCUUCUGGUCGCACCGAUUCGAUUCCCGGCACGCAUCAAAGGCAAAACUUCCCUCCUCCUAGACCCAGCGCGCCAUCUGUGCUACCACGAGUGCAAGCAAUGAUGGAAACGGUGGCAGUGGAUCCAGCCAAAUUUCUGGAACUUCUCGUAGCAACUAUGGCAAUGACUCGGACACCGGAGAUCGGAUCUGGGGAACCAAUGACGGGAAGCAGUUCUACAAAUGUGCAAAGCCACAAGGCCAGGGCUGUGACUUCUUCAUGUGGGACCCGAACAAUAUGGAGAACGAAGGCGAAGGUGCGAAUUCACGAGAAGCCAGUAGUAACGGUCGCCAAAAUCGAGGAAACUGGAUCAACGCUAUGAUAUCUAAUGAUCCCGCUGUGACUGCUCCUAACGUGAUCAAUUGUCUCUGCGGUCUGCCUGCAAAGCAGCUGACCGUUCGCAAGGAAGGGCCAAACAAGGGACGACAAUUCUACAAGUGCCAGCAAGAUAUUUGUAAAUUCUUCGAUUGGGGUAACGAGGCUGGGUCCGAGUUUCCGGAAGGACAAAUUCGAGCACCCAGCGCACGAGGA